AUAAUGAAUAACAUUUUAAAAUAAAUAACGUAACAGUAUCAUGUUUAUUGGACAAACAACGUUAAUAAGUUAUAAAGAUCGAAUUGAACUAAAACUAACUUGUUUAUACUUUUAGAUCAAGAGCUCAGACGAUGUUCUGAACAACACUUGGCUAAAGUUGACACAUCUUAAUUAUAUAUGUAUAUAUAUACAUGUGUAAAGAAAAAAAAACACAUUAUUCAUAUAUAAGAAGGACGAGUGGACUUUGGCUUAAUUGUGUUUCAUACCUAUUACAAGACAACGUACUAUUAUUAGUCCUAUAUACAUAACUUAGCGCAAAUCUAAGAUGUACGUGUGAGAAGUUUAUUCGGAUAUUUCCUAGUUUUUUUUUUUAUAACACAAUAAGUAUAGAUUAUGUGGUGCAUAUUGUCGUACAGAAGAAGAUUCAAGAUGGUAGUCUUCAGCUAAUUUAAACAUUCUAAGAUCUCGGCAGCUAAAUUUUGCUUUUGUUUAAUUAUUAACAAGUUUAUAUUAUUUUCAGUCUCGGUAAAGGUCAUAGGAUGAAGGCGGCAAUAGCUAGUAUCAAGUUGAGAAUUGCUAGAAGUAGCCAGAAAACAACAGAAUAAAAUAUCUAUAAUCGACUGUAUUGUUCUACUGUUCUAAAUCUAAUCCAAUAAAAAUGAAUCUAUCAGACGCAUUCUGCUGCAGUAUUCUGGUGGAGCAUAUUAUCAGCAAUGAUCGUCCAACUUAGCAGGUUCGGUGUCACAGUAGGGAUGUAAAGGUUGGCGGUAAAAUGACGGUAAGAAGCCGUUUGUUCAGAGCAGGCGCAUCUUGGAAAGCCUGGCCGUAACAGUGACAGUGACAGAGCCGUCGUAGCGUCCGCUAGUGCUCAGGAGCCAGUCGGUCCUAUUCGGGCUUCUGAUUAGGCAGUAGAAGAGGGCACAUAUAAAGGUGCAGCGACAACAGCGAUAAUGGUGAUAGUCGUAAAUGCCUACUAUAUCGCCUGCGGUAGCCUCUCUGCACGACAGCGUCGCCACGCCCUUGUUAGCAUAGCACGAAGUACCUUGUCGACAAUCGAGCAUUGAUCCGCGUCUGCACUACGGCAGCUUUACAUUGCUUCAUGGCGUCACAAACGACUCGCAUCUAAGCAACGCGAAGCUAGAGUAUGACGUGGUUGAAGGUUGCUUCCCAAUCACAGACCGCAGCAGUGUCAACAAUGGCUGGAGGUGUUGUUGGUAGUGAAGACGACGAAAGGAACAGUAGCUAACGAGCGUUAACGAAGCAACGCCAAUAGCCGCGUUCGGCCCGGCGUCCUGACAUAGGCUUACGGAAGAACAAGCUUGAUUUAAAUUCGUCCGUUCUAUUGUCUAUUAUGCUAUAAGAGUCGUUGUUUUGACAAUUUGUGCCGACAACUUUCAUUUGCAGGGAAAAGGAUCUAUGUGGAAGGCGAACAGCAAAAGAAAAAAAAUGAAAUAAAGAAAAAACCAUCGACUCUUUUGGUUCACGGAAAUGUUCGAACUUCGACGGCACGGGAGAUGCUGAUUAAACAACGUCAAUACGUUCUACUGCGAAGUUAAGAAACUUCAUUUCCGCACGAUGCUAUUGCUUUGUAUAAGCCAUACUGUUAAGAAGUAGUCCUCUGCUUGUUAUAGGCCUCCUUCGGUGCUCUGCGAGCGUGUAGAUCGUUGGUUGACCAAAGAAAUCAGGCUAAUAAAAUCAUAUUUUCUAAAAAUCAUUAGAGAGUACGAGAAGAGGGUUAUCGAAAAAUAUUUAAUUAAAAAAAAAGGCAAAAAGCUAACUCAUUCUGAAAUUUUCUGUCGCCAUACCUAACUAUACCUGCAUAGGAAGUUCAUACACAACUAUAAGGAUCCAAGUAUCCUAAAUAAUUUGACUUAAGCCAGCAAGAAAAGACGGUGUCUCAUUUUUUUCCUAACCUUGCUAUAAAUAAUGAUAUUUUCUUAUAAGCAGCCUGAAUUAACAAUUAAUUUUGAAUUCAGCUUCAGUUAAAUUCAGCUACGUUCAGUUAUGGUGAGCUAGCAACAAUUCAUGGUAAAAUCAUUGCUCUCAGGUGGCUUUGCUUAAAUAUGAUUUUGAGUAGGAAAAUUUAAUUUCGAUUCUCGUCCUGCCAUAAAUGGCAAUGUUUCUUCAGAAGUUACGGGUAAUCGUCAGAUGGAUUAAAUUCGAAAUUUAUUAUAAUAACAAUACGUUCAGUUUAUUCGGCUUAAACAUAAUAAACUAAUAUAGAGCGUAGUAAGGCUGUAACAGAGGAUCUCCGGUUGAUCCCGUUCUCUGCUUGGGUCUGCCUAGCAGACUGUCUGUGGGUAUCUCUCAUUUUGGUUUUGAAACCUUAGCAUUCAUUCGCCUUUAUGAACUGACUUUCGAUUAUUUGCAAAAUGAACAGCUCUCCAUUGGCCUGCACGUCCUUUAUUGUCAGUCCGUCCGUCUUGUGGCACACUGAUAUCUGUCACAGCACCAAACAGCAAUAGUUGUCUGUAAACUAUAGACGUCAGACAUAGAUAAUGCUGGGGUCCUGUAGUAAGUCAAGGCUUUCCGGUGACCAUCUCAGACAAGUAAACAGCUUGUGGCGUUUGCUUUUGCAAAUCGUGCUGAACCUCGCUAACUGCAAGCAACGAAUGGACGUCAUCGUCAAGAAGUCUAGCAGCGACUGAGCAAUAAGGUUGAUUGCCCCCCGCCCCGCCCCGCCCACUUGGGCUUACCAUCACCGCAACUCGUAUAAUGUCAGUGCAUCAUACACGUUUGGCAUUGCGAACUAUAUAGAAUAUUUGAAUCACACUUUGAAAUCCUAAGAUUUUGUUUACCGGAUAAUUAGUUGCUAUAUUAUCGUUACCACUUGUGGCGUCAAUUUACGGUUAUCAUAAUCCGAUUUGUCUGGAAAAGUUCUUUUUGUUGGCUUGAUCUGAUAUAAAUUCUAUUCUAACAUGUUUGUCUUCAUGAGCAAAAUGCAUCAAUGGCAUAAUUUCUAUGUACCAUUUUGUGCACUAAAAAGAGCGACAUAUAUUUGACCCUUAAAACUUUGUAUUGUCUAAUUUCUGAACAACACAUCAGCCCUUAAGAAUAAGGAAUAUCCUAUUAAUUGAACAGCAAGUAUUUUCAGCUGUGAAUCGUAGAUUCGCCGUUUUUAUCGAGCGAUACUCGGCGUUAGAAUUCGAUCCAAUGCCGAGCCUGUUUCGACGACGGCGAUUUAUCCUUACGUGACCUUGUGAACAGACUCAACAUGCUGGCCUUGGCCUUUAGCCUACACAGUAGCAUCGGCUGGUGACUCUACAGUAUAGCAGCAUUAAUACAAAUGAUUGUAGCUCACAAUAGUAAGUUGGAAUCAGCUAGAUUACCCUAUUAUAAAUAAUGAGAUAUAUGCCAACUAUUAUUUUUUGCCAAUGGUUCGACAUCGCUACUUCUUUUUAUUAUUGCUAGUUCUGUUCACAGUAUCGUUGACGGGAAUCAGACGGAUCGGAUAUAUAUAGUCAAAUAACAAUUGAAGAAACAGAUUAGCCAAAUAGGUCCCUUCUUAUAGACAGCUAGAAAUGUUACGGUAGUAGAUGUCAUUUUUUGUUAUUUUAAAAUUUGCAUUGUAGGCAACAAUCUAAUUUUGUUCCCAUGCAAAUAGCGGCAAAAAAUGUUCCUCGAGGCAAGGCGAAGUUCCCCAUUAGCUUCAAUUGUCCCGCUAAGAUGAAGACGCGUAUGCACAAGUGCUCGCGUUGUGAAAUUUGCACAGUAAAAUAAAGCCAACGAUAUUGUGCGGUUUAGCUAACAUGCAACCAAUACAUUUUUGCCUCAGAGCUUCCCGAACACGGCAAUAUUUGUUGAACAUGGCUGUAUCAAUGAUAACGCAGCGUACCGGGGGAGUCUCUACCGGUCGUCUUGAUCCCCCUUAAAGGUGACCUCAUUGAGGAAUAAAAUAAAGAAAGCGGAUAUUCCGUUGAGAAUAAAUUAUGAGUUAAGACGCCACUCGAACAUUGUGCUAAGUCACCAAACCACUGAGAAUUAUAGGGUAUGGCUGACACGAUGCAAUCCAUCCUUUCAUGCGCCGCGAAACGUCUUUAUUUUGCCUCGAUCUGCGUCCAGUUGGUCCUUUUUUGUAGACAUGUCAUCAAGGUUUGAGGUGCCAGCAUCGCCGCAGUGCGCAUCUGUAAGUACUUAAGCCAUUGUCCGAAUGACGGUUUUGAAGAUAUACAAAUUAACCGGGAGACAGUAAGUAUAAAAUAAAUUAUUCCCAGCAGUCUGCGUGUGUCCGUCACUAUACGUAUUGAAACGUCAACAACCUAUUUGAAGAACCUUUUCUCCUCAAUCAGGCAAUCCACACCGUGUAGUCUUUUUCUCAAAAGACAUUCAUGCUGCCGCACAAAAUCUACGCUAUUGAUUUACGCAUAUCACUUUCGACAGAUACUAACUGAUGACGUAUUUGUCGGCAAUGUACGC
This is a long non-coding RNA of Varroa destructor (honeybee mite), 4416 nucleotides long. The record is from RefSeq and is a predicted model, not a curated record. Lineage: Eukaryota; Metazoa; Arthropoda; Arachnida; Mesostigmata; Varroidae.